GAAGUACGGAAUCAAUCCGCAGUUUCAUGGCUGCUCUCAGAUGGGGCCAGGAUUUGGUAGCUGGUACUGAGAGAAAACCCAGGAUUGCUUCCUUGCCCUGAGGCUGUGCCAGUGGUAGCUGCCACUCAGUGGGGGGGAG
RNAcentral lists this small nucleolar RNA (139 nucleotides) under Tupaia belangeri (northern tree shrew). Its description in RNAcentral is "Small nucleolar RNA SNORA30/SNORA37 family (ENSTBEG00000020997.1)". The record is from RNAcentral. Lineage: Eukaryota; Metazoa; Chordata; Mammalia; Scandentia; Tupaiidae.